CAACCGAGAUUCCCAAAGUAGUGGCGAGCGAAAUGGGAAGAGCCUGUACUCUUUAUUUGUAUUGUUAGUCGAACGCUCUGGAAAGUGCGGCCAUAGCAGGUGAUAGCCCCUGUAGACGAAAAACAGUAUGAAAGAACUAGGUGUACGACAAGUAGGGCGGGACACGUGAAAUCCUGUCUGAAGAUGGGGGGACCAUCCUCCAAGGCUAAAUACACCAUCCUCCAAGGCUAAAUACUCGUGAUCGACCGAUAGUGAACCAGUACCGUGAGGGAAAGGCGAAAAGAACCCCGGGAGGGGAGUGAAAUAGAUCCUGAAACCGCAUGCAUACAAACAGUCGGAGCCUCGUAAGGGGUGACGGCGUACCUUUUGUAUAAUGGGUCAGCGACUUACGUUCAGUAGCAAGCUUACAAACAGUCGGAGCCUCGUAAGGGGUGACGGCGUACCUUUUGUAUAAUGGGUCAGCGACUUACGUUCAGUAGCAAGCUUAACCGAAUAGGGCAGGCGUAGCGAAAGCGAGUCCGAAUAGGGCGUUCAGUUGCUGGGCGUAGACCCGAAACCAAGUGAUCUAUCCAUGGCCAGGAUGAAGGUGCGGUAACACGUACUGGAGGUCCGAACCCACUAACGUUGAAAAGUUAGGGGAUGAGCUGUGGAUAGGGGUGAAAGGCUAAACAAACUUGGAAAUAGCUGGUUCUCUCCGAAAACUAUUUAGGUAGUGCCUCGUGUCUCACCUUCGGGGGUAGAGCACUGUCAUGGUUGGGGGGUCCAUUGCGGAUUACCCCGCCAUAGCAAACUCCGAAUACCGAAGAGUGCAAUCACGGGAGACAGACAUCGGGUGCUAACGUCCGGUGUCAAGAGGGAAACAACCCAGACCGCCAGCUAAGGUCCCCAAAUAUAGCUAAGUGGGAAACGAAGUGGGAAGGCUAAAACAGUCAGGAGGUUGGCUUAGAAGCAGCCACCCUUUAAAGAAAGCGUAAUAGCUCACUGAUCGAGUCGUCCUGCGCGGAAGAUGUAACGGGGCUAAGCUAUAUACCGAAGCUGCGGAUGCAUAUUUAUAUGCAUGGUAGGAGAGCGUUCCGUAAGCCUGCGAAGGUGCAUUGUAAAGUGUGCUGGAGGUAUCGGAAGUGCGAAUGCUGACAUGAGUAGCGAUAAAGGGGGUGAAAGGCCCCCUCGCCGUAAGCCCAAGGUUUCCUACGCAACGUUCAUCGGCGUAGGGUGAGGUCGGCCCCUAAGGCGAGGCAGAAAUGCGUAGCUGAUGGGAAGCAGGUCAAUAUUCCUGCACCAUUGUUAAAUGCGAUAAAGGGGGUGAAAGGCCCCCUCGCCGUAAGCCCAAGGUUUCCUACGCAACGUUCAUCGGCGUAGGGUGAGGUCGGCCCCUAAGGCGAGGCAGAAAUGCGUAGCU
RNAcentral lists this ribosomal RNA (1399 nucleotides) under Lachnospiraceae bacterium OF09-33XD. RNAcentral describes it as "Bacterial large subunit ribosomal RNA". It matches the Rfam family "Bacterial large subunit ribosomal RNA", at positions 226 to 1576 of the family's 2925-position model. The record is from Rfam by way of RNAcentral. Lineage: Bacteria; Bacillati; Bacillota; Clostridia; Lachnospirales; Lachnospiraceae.